GCUUACGGCCAUACCAGCCUGGCUAUGCCCGAACUCGUCUGAUCUCGGAAGCUAAGCAGGUUUGGGCAUGGUUAGUACUUGGAUGGGAGACCGCCUGGGAAUACCAGGUGCUGUAAGCA
This is a ribosomal RNA of Carassius auratus (goldfish), 119 nucleotides long. The record is from Ensembl. NCBI's taxonomy places the organism in Eukaryota, Metazoa, Chordata, Actinopteri, Cypriniformes, Cyprinidae.